AUACAUGGUGGCGAGUGGCGCACGGGUGCGUAACACGUAUGUAACCUACCUCUAACAGUGGCAUAACAAUGAGAAAUUAUUGCUAAUUCCGCAUGUGGUUAAUUUGAGGCAUCUUAGAUUAACUAAAGAUUUAUCGGUUAGAGCUGGGCAUGCGUCCCAUUAGCUAGUUGGUGAGGUAACGGCUCACCAAGGCCUCGAUGGGUAGGGGCUCUGAGAGGAUUGUCCCCCACACUGGUACUGAGACACGGACCAGACUCCUACGGGAGGCAGCAGUAAGGAAUAUUGGGCAAUGGACGCAAGUCUGACCCAGCCAUGCCGCGUGAAGGAAGACGGCCCUAUGGGUUGUAAACUUCUUUUCUCAGGGGGUAAACUCCGGAACGUGUUCCGGACUGAAAGUACCUGAGGAAUAAGCAUCGGCUAACUCCGUGCCAGCAGCCGCGGUAAUACGGAGGAUGCGAGCGUUAAUCGGAAUUACUGGGCGUAAAGCGCACGCAGGCGGUCUGUCAAGUCGGAUGUGAAAUCCCCGGGCUCAACCUGGGAACUGCAUCCGAAACUGGCAGGCUAGAGUCUUGUAGAGGGGGGUAGAAUUCCAGGUGUAGCGGUGAAAUGCGUAGAGAUCUGGAGGAAUACCGGUGGCGAAGGCGGCCCCCUGGACAAAGACUGACGCUCAGGUGCGAAAGCGUGGGGAGCAAACAGGAUUAGAUACCCUGGUAGUCCACGCCGUAAACGAUGUCGACUUGGAGGUUGUGCCCUUGAGGCGUGGCUUCCGGAGCUAACGCGUUAAGUCGACCGCCUGGGGAGUACGGCCGCAAGGUUAAAACUCAAAUGAAUUGACGGGGGCCCGCACAAGCGGUGGAGCAUGUGGUUUAAUUCGAUGCAACGCGAAGAACCUUACCUACUCUUGACAUCCAGAGAACUUAGCAGAGAUGCUUUGGUGCCUUCGGGAACUCUGAGACAGGUGCUGCAUGGCUGUCGUCAGCUCGUGUUGUGAAAUGUUGGG
RNAcentral lists this ribosomal RNA (1000 nucleotides) under uncultured bacterium. Its description in RNAcentral is "bacterial SSU rRNA". It matches the Rfam family "Bacterial small subunit ribosomal RNA", at positions 81 to 1079 of the family's 1533-position model. The record is from RNAcentral.